Molecule: small RNA, 233 nt
Filed under: Arabidopsis thaliana (thale cress)
Lineage: Eukaryota; Viridiplantae; Streptophyta; Magnoliopsida; Brassicales; Brassicaceae
Description: ATSL111010
Source: RNAcentral
GUAAUUUUAUAUUUGUUAGAAAUAAUUUUUUAGCUACCGAUUCAACCGCGAAAGGUAGAUUAUGGUUCGUUACAUAUAUAUUGAACCAAAUCGACGGAAUACUUGGUCCGUCGAAAAAGUUAAUUGGUUUUAAGAAUAUUGGGGUCACAUACAAAAUAAAACUGGGAUUUUUGGUAUAUGUAUAAAUUCAUUUUUCUAAUUUAAUAUUUACAUUAAAUUUAGACAUUUUAAAU